Molecule: ribosomal RNA, 449 nt
Filed under: uncultured bacterium
Lineage: Bacteria
Description: partial 16S ribosomal RNA
Rfam family: Bacterial small subunit ribosomal RNA
Source: RNAcentral
AAUGAACGCUGGCGGCAGGCCUAACACAUGCAAGUCGAAUGGAUCCUUCGGGAUUAGUGGCGGACGGGUGAGUAACGCGUGGGAACAUACCCUUUGGUACGGAAUAGCCUCGGGAAACUGGGAGUAAUACCGUAUGUGGUCGAGAGACGAAAGAUUUAUCGCCAAAGGAUUGGCCCGCGUUGGAUUAGGUAGUUGGUGGGGUAAUGGCCUACCAAGCCGACGAUCCAUGGCUGGUUUGAGAGGAUGAUCAGCCACACUGGGACUGAGACACGGCCCAGACUCCUACGGGAGGCAGCAGUGGGGAAUUUUAGACAAUGGGGGAAACCCUGAUCUAGCUAUGCCGCGUGAUCGAUGAAGGCCUUAGGGUUGUAAAGAUCUUUCAGGUGGGAAGAUAAUGACUGUACCACCAGAAGAAGCCCCGGCUAACUCCGUGCCAGCCGCCGCAGUAA